GACGAACGCUGGCGGCGUGCUUAACACAUGCAAGUCGAACGGAAAGGCCUGCUUUCCCUUGUGGAUUGCGGGUACUCGAGUGGCGAACGGGUGAGUAACACGUGAGUGAUCUGCCCCCAACUUGGGUAUAAGCCUGGGAAACUGGGUCUAAUUCCCGAUAGGACUGCAGGGUGGUGCCUGUGGUGGAAAACGAUUUUCUAGUGGUUGGGGAUGAGCUCGCGGCCUAUCAGCUUGUUGGUGGGGUAAUGGCCUACCAAGGCGGCGACGGGUAGCCGGCCUGAGAGGGUGGACGGCCACAUUGGGACUGAGAUACGGCCAAGACUCCUACGGGAGGCAGCAGUGGGGAAUAUUGCACAAGGGGCGGAAGCCUGAUGCAGCGACGCCGCGUGGGGGAUGACGGCCUUCGGGUUGUAAACUCCUUUCGACCGCGAGGAAGCCACCUGGUUGGAAGGGUGGUGACGGUAGUGGUAGAAGAAGCACCGGCUAACUACGUG
This 494-nucleotide ribosomal RNA is filed under the name uncultured bacterium. RNAcentral describes it as "partial 16S ribosomal RNA". It matches the Rfam family "Bacterial small subunit ribosomal RNA", at positions 28 to 507 of the family's 1533-position model. The record is from RNAcentral.